This is a long non-coding RNA of Neopelma chrysocephalum (saffron-crested tyrant-manakin), 771 nucleotides long. RefSeq lists it as uncharacterized. The transcript is spliced from 3 exons. The record is from RefSeq and is a predicted model, not a curated record. Lineage: Eukaryota; Metazoa; Chordata; Aves; Passeriformes; Pipridae.
GGCUCUUCUCACACAGGUAGAUCUCCAUUUUCCUGAUCAUCUUAACAGCCCUUUCUUGCCUUCCCUCCAGUUUUGCAUUUCUCUCAGGGAUAUGUGACCAUACGGAACCCAUUAAUUGCUACAAGGGACUGUGUUACCUACGCCAGGAUUACUAACAUUUUGCUACUGUUAAAAACCUUUCUCAUCAUGUCGUCAAAUCAGAAUUGCCUGCCUUGCUGCCAAAUGAUACUGUGAGCAACUUUUGUAUGGGAUAUUUUAAACCUUCAAGAAGUUCAAUACAAAAACUGAAUGUAACUGAUGAAGGAGACAUUCUUCCCACAUGAUUUUGGUUGUCCAAAAACUGUAUGAAGUUUAAGCCUUAAGGUAUAUAUACUCCUUUUCUAGUCUAUGGACUAUGAGAGAAAUAUCCAAAGGGCAGUUCACUGGUACAAUAUGUGAAAUGAAAUGAAGAACUAGUCAAAUACACACAUGCACCAUGCAGCCACAGCCUCAAAAAUGUCAGACGUUCAGAACAAGCAGAAAAGAUCACAUCCAGCUCCACUCCAAGAGCAACAAGUAUGCCCUGUUUGACCAGACAAUUAUAGGACCCCAGCUGGAGGCUUCGGUCAAUGGAGGUUGGACAUACAUACAUCUUUCCCUGCAGGUGCCUAAACUGCCAGGUGAAGGAGAAGGGUAGGCUGAGGGAGGAGACACCAAGAACAAAUUAAAAUGAACUCUAGCAUGGGCUAUGUGAUAGAUGUAAUACAUGCUGAUCUUUAGCCAUCACUCUAA